This 352-nucleotide ribosomal RNA is filed under the name uncultured bacterium. Its description in RNAcentral is "bacterial SSU rRNA". It matches the Rfam family "Bacterial small subunit ribosomal RNA", at positions 1 to 350 of the family's 1533-position model. The record is from RNAcentral.
UCAGAGUUUGAUAUGCUCAGGAUGAACGCUAGCUACAGGCUUAACACAUGCAAGUCGAGGGGAAACGACAUCGAAAGCUUGCUUUUGAUGGGCGUCGACCGGCGCACGGGUGAGUAACGCGUAUCCAACCUGCCCACCACUUGGGGAUAACCUUGCGAAAGUAAGACUAAUACCCAAUGACGUCUCUAGAAGACAUCUGAAGGAGAUUAAAGAUUUAUCGGUGAUGGAUGGGGAUGCGUCUGAUUAGCUUGUUGGCGGGGUAACGGCCACCAAGGCGACGAUCAGUAGGGGUUCUGAGAGGAAGGUCCCCCACAUUGGAACUGAGACACAGUCCAAACUCCUACGGGAGGCA